RNAcentral lists this transfer RNA (83 nucleotides) under Firmicutes bacterium GWE2_51_13. RNAcentral describes it as "tRNA-Leu". It matches the Rfam family "tRNA". From Rfam's summary of the family: Transfer RNA (tRNA) molecules are approximately 80 nucleotides in length. Their secondary structure includes four short double-helical elements and three loops (D, anti-codon, and T loops). RNAcentral also lists the same sequence under 2 other names. The record is from RNAcentral. Lineage: Bacteria; Bacillati; Bacillota.
GCGCGUGUGGCGAAACUGGCAGACGCACUAGACUUAGGAUCUAGCGGGCAACCAUGCAGGUUCAAGUCCUGUCACGCGCACCA